Molecule: non-coding RNA, 405 nt
Organism: Pelobates cultripes (western spadefoot toad)
Lineage: Eukaryota; Metazoa; Chordata; Amphibia; Anura; Pelobatidae
Source: the annotation of a GenBank genome assembly
AAAAAAAGCUGUUUUCCUGGCACUAUAGGUCCCGACAGUGCCCCCCUCCCUGGCAUCCUCCCUCCCGCAGUACUGAACUUACCUGAAUGCAGGGCUGAUGUCCUGAAUCCGAAAUCUGAUGCCAAAGUGGGAGAGGGGAUCUUGAGUCUGAAAUAGGGGGCUCCUAGGUCCUCUAGUCUUCUCUCACUGCCUGGGUGUAAGAAGGGAGACCAGAGCAGGACUGGAGGCAGAGAAGACCAGGGAGCUACCCAACAAAGAACCAAAGGGAUUGAGCGUAAAAGAACAGAACUAUUGAAAAUGGUUAAAUGCUGAAAGAAAGGACAGUAGUGAGACUCCAGACACUAUACCUGCAUCAGUGACAAAGCUCUUACAGUGUUUCUUUUAAAGCAGGGGUUUAUAAGGUCC